Long non-coding RNA from Symphalangus syndactylus (siamang), 164 nucleotides. RefSeq lists it as uncharacterized. Lineage: Eukaryota; Metazoa; Chordata; Mammalia; Primates; Hylobatidae. The record is from RefSeq and is a predicted model, not a curated record.
CAUGAUUGUAGGUUUCCUGAGGCCUCCCAACCAUGCUGAACUAACUGGGAACUGACAUGCUGAGUGAUUAAGAGAUCGGCCCCAGGUCAUGUAGCCAAAAAAUGAUGGAAAAGAGAGUCAAACACAGGCUGACAAGUGUUCAUCUCUUCCCCGAAGAUGUUGAC